UAUGGCGGGUGCGGGGGUGAGAGCGAGUAACCUUUCGCUGUUCCUGAACGCCGGUGUCAAAGAAGUGCACAGUUCAGCCGGGCAAUGGUUGCCCUCCGAUAUGCGAUACCGCAAUCCCGGACUGUCAAUGUCAACGGAUCCUGAAGCUGAUGAGUAUUCGCGUUAUGCCGUCGAUGGUGAGGCGGUUGCCGCGAUGAGAGAAAUCAUUGAGCGUCAUGUGUAGCUAAAAGUUUUUACCGCGUGUCAUAUUCGCCCAAUAUGAUGCUUGCUUGUACCAGGCCCCUGCCCAUUAAACAGGGGCCUUUUUU
Molecule: non-coding RNA, 308 nt
Filed under: Kluyvera cryocrescens
Lineage: Bacteria; Pseudomonadati; Pseudomonadota; Gammaproteobacteria; Enterobacterales; Enterobacteriaceae
Description: MicL sRNA
Rfam family: MicL sRNA
About the family: mRNA-interfering complementary RNA regulator of Lpp. Transcription factor sigma E dependant sRNA. Together with MicA and RybB it allows sigma E to repress the synthesis of all abundant outer membrane proteins in response to stress.
Source: RNAcentral